AGUAGCUGGGAUUACAGCCGUGAGCCACUGCGCCUGGCCGGCUGUCUCAAAGCUUUCUUAAUUAUUUAUUUGAAUUCAGUGUCUAAAUAGACUUAUGAUGAGGUAUCUAAAAGGACGGUUUAAAAUUCAGUUCUUCCUUAUUCCUUCUCACAAAUCUCUUCAACGUUACAGAAUCAGUAGGGUCAAAAUUAGAAUAGCCCGAGAAGCUCAAUUUAAAAAAAAAAUUAGAGCGAUAUUUGAACUUUAGUAAUAUAUGGUUUCUAUUGAAAUAUUUGAAACUCUAGAUAAUGUUAACUGUAUGAUGUUCCCACCUAGUGUUAAUAUAUGAAUUAUUUCUUUAACAGUUUUCAGGAAAUGCCUUUGUUAAGUAUUGGUAAUUUAAUAAUAUUCCAUUCUCAUAGUAUACAGAAGUUUUGUUAUUUCUAGUUUUUAUGGUAUUUAGUGAUUAUGUGGUAUUUAAAUAAUAAACAGUGGUGAAUUUAACAGAUCAAGAGUUCAUUUAAUUGUAUUACAGUUUUUAUCCUCAUCUGGAAAUAUUUCUCUGGCCAGUUCAUUUUUCCCUUGAUCUCUUAGUCCCUGUGAUUCAGGAAAUUGAAUUAAUGAAUGUAUGGUCAAUACUACUGACUAGGAUGCUUUCAAUAACAUAGUUUAAAAUGUAAAGUCACACUUAUAGCUAGAAUGAUGAAACAAAACUUUUCUCCUUAAUUAAAGAUUUACAUUGUUAAGAAAUAGUUUCUGGCUUCACUUAGGUAGGUCCUGCUGCGUUGACCGCCGGUAUCCCGCUGGUGGUCUUGGAGACCGGCGUUGGUUGAAAAUCACCCCCCGGCUUUGGCCGUGGCCGCGGGACACUGGUCCUCCCACGCCUGAGACUGACGUCGCCAGGACCACGGGGUCGGGGGGACUCGGCUGUCUCCCGUCUUUCAAAUAAAGCUGUUUGCCUAACUCA
This is a long non-coding RNA of Cercocebus atys (sooty mangabey), 946 nucleotides long. RefSeq lists it as uncharacterized. The transcript has 2 exons. Lineage: Eukaryota; Metazoa; Chordata; Mammalia; Primates; Cercopithecidae. The record is from RefSeq and is a predicted model, not a curated record.